Molecule: ribosomal RNA, 793 nt
Filed under: uncultured bacterium
Lineage: Bacteria
Description: bacterial SSU rRNA
Rfam family: Bacterial small subunit ribosomal RNA
Source: RNAcentral
AGAGUUUGAUCAUGGCUCAGGAUGAACGCUAGCGGCAGGCUUAAUACAUGCAAGUCGUGGGGCAGCACAGGUAGCAAUACUGGGUGGCGACCGGCAAACGGGUGCGGAACACGUACGCAACCUUCCUUUAACUGGAGAAUAGCCCGGGGAAACCCGGAUUAAUACUCCGUAACAUUAUGAAGUGGCAUCACUUUAUAAUUAUAGCUCCGGCGGUUGAAGAUGGGCGUGCGUCUGAUUAGGUAGUUGGCGGGGUAACGGCCCACCAAGCCUACGAUCAGUAACUGGUGUGAGAGCACGACCAGUCACACGGGCACUGAGACACGGGCCCGACUCCUACGGGAGGCAGCAGUAAGGAAUAUUGGUCAAUGGACGCAAGUCUGAACCAGCCAUGCCGCGUGGAGGAUGAAGGUCCUCUGGAUUGUAAACUUCUUUUAUUUGGGAAGAAACCCCCGAUUUCUAUUGGGGUUGACGGUACCAGAUGAAUAAGCACCGGCUAACUCCGUGCCAGCAGCCGCGGUAAUACGGAGGGUGCAAGCGUUAUCCGGAUUCACUGGGUUUAAAGGGUGCGUAGGCGGGUUGGUAAGUCCGUGGUGAAAUCUCCAAGCUUAACUUGGAAACUGCCGUGGAUACUAUCAAUCUUGAAUAUAGUGGAGGUGAGCGGAAUAUGUCAUGUAGCGGUGAAAUGCUUAGAUAUGACAUAGAACACCCAUUGCGAAGGCAGCUCGCUACACUAUUAUUGACGCUGAGGCACGAAAGCGUGGGGAUCAAACAGGAUUAGAUACCCUCGUAGUCC